CCAGCAAUCCGCCUGAGUUCCUUAAAUGACUCGGCGGGCGGCUUCCGGGAAACCAAAGUUUUUCGGUUCCGGGGGAAGUAUGGUUGCAAAGCUGAAACUUAAAGGAAUUGACGGAAGGGCACCACCAGGAGUGGAGCCUGCGGCUUAAUUUGACUCAACACGGGAAAACUCACCCGGCCCGGACACUAGAAGGAUUGACAGAUUGAGAGCUCUUUCUUGAUUUAGUGGGUGGUGGUGCAUGGCCGUUCUUAGUUGGUGGAGUGAUUUGUCUGGUUAAUUCCGAUAACGAACGAGACUCUAGCCUACUAAAUAGAUAGUCGGCUUACAAACGUCGACUAGACUUCUUAGAGGGACAGGCGGUGAUUCAACCGCACGAAACAGAGCAAUAACAGGUCUGUGAUGCCCUUAGAUGUCCGGGGCCGCACGCGCGCUACACUGAAGUGAUCAGCGUGCAUUAUAAAACCUGCUCUGCCAAGAGUGGGUAACCCAAUGAACCUUCUUCGUGAUUGGGAUAGGGGAUUGUAAUUAUUCCCCUUGAACGAGGAAUUCCCAGUAAGCGCGAGUCAUAAGCUCGCGUUGAUUACGUCCCUGCCCUUUGUACACACCGCCCGUCGCUACUACCGAUUGAAUGAU
RNAcentral lists this ribosomal RNA (633 nucleotides) under uncultured eukaryote. Its description in RNAcentral is "SSU rRNA". It matches the Rfam family "Eukaryotic small subunit ribosomal RNA", at positions 1046 to 1697 of the family's 1831-position model. The record is from RNAcentral.